UCCAUUGUUGCUGGUCUUACAUUGU
This 25-nucleotide non-coding RNA is filed under the name Rattus norvegicus (Norway rat). Lineage: Eukaryota; Metazoa; Chordata; Mammalia; Rodentia; Muridae. The record is from RNAcentral.